This 63-nucleotide transfer RNA is filed under the name marine eukaryotic metagenome. It matches the Rfam family "tRNA", at positions 6 to 65 of the family's 71-position model. From Rfam's summary of the family: Transfer RNA (tRNA) molecules are approximately 80 nucleotides in length. Their secondary structure includes four short double-helical elements and three loops (D, anti-codon, and T loops). Further hydrogen bonds mediate the characteristic L-shaped molecular structure. tRNAs have two regions of fundamental functional importance: the anti-codon, which is responsible for specific mRNA codon recognition, and the 3' end, to which the tRNAs corresponding amino acid is attached (by aminoacyl-tRNA synthetases). tRNAs cope with the degeneracy of the genetic code in two manners: having more than one tRNA (with a specific anti-codon) for a particular amino acid; and 'wobble' base-pairing, i.e. permitting non-standard base-pairing at the 3rd anti-codon position. The record is from RNAcentral.
AGUAGCUCAGCGGACAGAGCAACGGCCUUCUAAGCCGUGGGCCGGGGGUUCGAAUCCCUCCUG